UGUGUGUGUGUGUGUGUGUGUGUGUGUGUGUGUGUGUGUGUGUGUGUGUGUGUGUGUGUGUGUGUGUGUGUGUGUGUGUGUGUGUGUGUGUGUGUGUGUGUGUGUGUGUGUGUGUGUGUGUGUGUGUGUGUGUGUGUGUGUGUGUGUGUGUGUGCGUGUGCGUGCGUGCGGGCGUGCAAGUAUGUAUGUAUGUAUGUCACUUUAUUGCACAUAAACAGGUUUACAUAAAAUGGAGAAAACAAAAAAAAAAUUAUAUCAAAAUGCGAACUUAUCCCUGUAAGGGAUCUCUUCCA
This is a long non-coding RNA of Cydia strobilella, 293 nucleotides long. RefSeq lists it as uncharacterized. The record is from RefSeq and is a predicted model, not a curated record. The transcript has 3 exons. NCBI's taxonomy places the organism in Eukaryota, Metazoa, Arthropoda, Insecta, Lepidoptera, Tortricidae.